This 256-nucleotide ribosomal RNA is filed under the name uncultured bacterium. RNAcentral describes it as "partial 16S ribosomal RNA". It matches the Rfam family "Bacterial small subunit ribosomal RNA", at positions 521 to 776 of the family's 1533-position model. The record is from RNAcentral.
UAAUACGAACUGUGCGAACGUUAUUCGGAAUCACUGGGCUUAAAGGGUGCGUAGGCGGUUUGUUAAGUCAGGUGUGAAAUCCCCCGGCUCAACCGGGGAACAGCGCUUGAAACUAGCAGACUAGAGUGAGGUAAGGGACCACGGAACUUCUGGUGGAGCGGUGAAAUGUGUAGAUAUCAGAAGGAACGCCGGUGGCGAAAGCGGUGGUCUGGGCCUUGUCUGACGCUGAGGCACGAAAGCUAGGGGAGUGAACGGG